Molecule: long non-coding RNA, 1599 nt
Filed under: Marmota monax (woodchuck)
Lineage: Eukaryota; Metazoa; Chordata; Mammalia; Rodentia; Sciuridae
Source: RNAcentral
GUUUAAGCCAUUAACAUUUAGGGUUACUAUUGAUAUAUGGUUUGUACUUCCAGUCAUGUUUGUUUAUUUAUUUAAUUUUUAAAAAAUUUGGUUUGUUUUUCCUCUUUGAUUAGUUUUUUAUCCCCUCCCUUUACUGAGGUACUUCCCACUGUUGGUUUUUGUUGAUGUUUUUCAUUUCCUCUUCGUGUAGUGUUUUGCCCAAAAUGCUUUGCAGUGCUGGUUUUCUGGCUGCGAAUUCUUUUAACUUUUGUUUAUCAUGGAAGAUUUUUAUUUCAUUGUCAAACCUGAAGCUUAGUUUUGCUGGAUACAAUAUUCUUGAUUGGCACCCAUUAUCUUUCAGCAUUUGAAAAACGUUGUUCCAGGAUCUUCUCGAUUUCAGUGUCUGUGAUGAAAAAUCAGCCGUUAACCUAAUUGGUUUACCCCUAAAUGUAAUCUGCCUCCUUUCUCUUGUAGCUUUUAAUAUUCUCUCCUUGUUCUGUAUGUUGCAUAUCUUCAUAAUAAUGUGUCUUGGCGUUGGUCUGUUGUGGUUUUGAACAUUCGGCGUCCUGUAGGCUUCUAGGAUUUGGACAUCCGUUUCAUUUUUCAUGUCUGGAAAGUUUUCUAAAAUUAUUUCAUUUAACAGAUUGCUCAUUCCUUUGGUUUGGACCUCUAUACCUUCCUCUAUCCCAAUGACUCUUAAGUUUGUUUUUUUAAUAAUAUCCCAUAUCUCUUGGAUGUUUUGCUCAUGAUUUCUUACCAACCUUUCUGAGUUGUCUAGACUCUUUUCAAGAUGAUAUAUUUUGUCUUCAUUGUCUUAUGUUCUGACUUGGUCUACUCAACUGGUGAUACUUUCAUUUGAUUUUUUAAUUUGGUUUAUAUUUUCCUUCAUUUCUAGGAUUUUUGUUUGAUUUUUUUUAUAACAUGUAUCUCCCUGUAGAGUUGUUCAUUUGCUUUUUGAAUUUGUUUAUGUAAUUCAUUGUCGAUGUGAUCUUUCAUUGCUUGCAUUUGCUGUCUAGUGAUCUCUUUAAGAUUCCAUUCCAUCUGAGUCAGGUAUGCCUUGAGUUCUUUAUCUGACCAUUUUUCUGAUGCAUCUAGCAUCUCCUGUAAAUUUAAGCUGUCCUGCAUUGUUUGUGUUCCUUUUUUUUCCUUUUUUCAUGAUGCUUGUGUUUCUUUCCAGUUCUGUUUGACUGCUGUGUUAUUAUUUUCUCCUAUAAAUUUGUUUUGGUUUUGUAUAGCUCCAAUAUCUCUCCUUUGUGAUGGGAGACAAUGUCUUGAGAUGUUCGGUUUAAUUGUGAUUUAAAGUAAAUUCAUUAGUUUCAUUAAAGGCCUACAGAUUUUGAUGGCAUAUAGAGAAUUAAGGUUUGAACUUAGGAUUUUAUGUUAAGGUCGGGAGAUGUGAUGGUAUGGAGGUUAGUAUAUCUUAGCUUCUUUGGGGGAUUGCUCAAAUGCAGGCGGAUAUUAACAAGAGAAUAGACAGGAGUAUUUGGGGGUAACUAAGGGCUUAGGAGGAUUAUAGACCGUCUGGUAACAUUCACCUAUUUGCAUUUAGUAAAUUACAUGUAAUCGGAGUGGUGAUGCUUGGGAGGAAAGAUAGGGAAAAGGUAGGGAAGAAAACCAAGA